Molecule: ribosomal RNA, 236 nt
Filed under: uncultured Anoxybacillus sp.
Lineage: Bacteria; Bacillati; Bacillota; Bacilli; Caryophanales; Anoxybacillaceae
Description: partial 16S ribosomal RNA
Rfam family: Bacterial small subunit ribosomal RNA
Source: RNAcentral
UGACUGCCGGCUAAAAGUCGGAGGAAGUGGGGAUGACGUCAAAUCAUCAUGCCCCUUAUGACCUGGGCUACACACGUGCUACAAUGGGCGGUACAAAGGGUCGCGAACCCGCGAGGGGGAGCCAAUCCCAAAAAGCCGCUCUCAGUUCGGAUUGCAGGCUGCAACUCGCCUGCAUGAAGCCGGAAUCGCUAGUAAUCGCGGAUCAGCAUGCCGCGGUGAAUACGUUCCCGGGCCUU